AAUAUGGAUUUAGAUUACCUUUUCUUUAGUCCUUUUGUUGGCCUUUGUGUAUGAAAUUUGGAUUUUACAGAUUUGAUUUAUGCAUAUUCUAGAAUCUAAAUUUAUCAGGCUUUUAUUCAUGUGAAAAUUUAUAAUAUUGAUUGUAUGGGUUUUGAUCAUAAAUAAUGAGAUUUGUGUUUGGUGCUGUUAUAUUGCUAAUAUAUGGCUCUAUCUCUGUAUUUUUAUUCUAUUUGUAAUAUAGUUAAAACUUUUCUGGAUGGCUGCCUCCAAGAGAAGAGGCAAGAUACUUUGUGUGCAAGCAAUAUUUCACGGGAGACUCUUACUUUUGUUUGCAUUUUGCAAGUGGUGAUUCAAUUAGUGGAACUAUUCCUCCCGAGUUUGGAAAUCUUAUCAAAUUGCACUAUCUAGAUCUUUCAUUCUCUUCUUCUAAAGAUGGUGUGUUGGUUGAUAAUCUUGACUAGCUUUCUCGUUUCACUUCUUUGAAAACCUUUCUAUUAAUACUAAACGAUUACUUAUAUCAUUACAAAUAUGCUUUCUUCUUGUUGGAGAUCAAAUCUCGUUUAUUCUCUAUAGA
Long non-coding RNA from Humulus lupulus (European hop), 574 nucleotides. RefSeq lists it as uncharacterized. The record is from RefSeq and is a predicted model, not a curated record. Lineage: Eukaryota; Viridiplantae; Streptophyta; Magnoliopsida; Rosales; Cannabaceae. The transcript is spliced from 2 exons.